GAGUUUGAUCGUGGCUCAGGACGAACGCUGGCGGCGCGCCUAACACAUGCAAGUCGAACGGAGUUAUUCUGAAUGAAGUUUUCGGAUGGAUUUUGGAUUAACUUAGUGGCGAACGGGUGAGUAACGCGUGAGUAACCUGCCCUGGAGUGGGGGACAACAGUUGGAAACGACUGCUAAUACCGCAUAAGCCCACGGUGCCGCAUGGCACAGCGGGAAAAGGAUUUAUUCGCUUCAGGAUGGACUCGCGUCCAAUUAGCUAGUUGGUGAGGUAACGGCCCACCAAGGCGACGAUUGGUAGCCGGACUGAGAGGUUGAACGGCCACAUUGGGACUGAGACACGGCCCAGACUCCUACGGGAGGCAGCAGUGGGGGAUAUUGCACAAUGGGGGAAACCCUGAUGCAGCGACGCCGCGUGGAGGAAGAAGGUUUUCGGAUUGUAAACUCCUGUCGUUAGGGACGAUAAUGACGGUACCUAACAAGAAAGCACCGGCUAACUACGUGCCAGCCGCCGCCGUAAC
This 518-nucleotide ribosomal RNA is filed under the name uncultured bacterium. Its description in RNAcentral is "bacterial SSU rRNA". It matches the Rfam family "Bacterial small subunit ribosomal RNA", at positions 9 to 524 of the family's 1533-position model. The record is from RNAcentral.